RNAcentral lists this ribosomal RNA (326 nucleotides) under uncultured bacterium. Its description in RNAcentral is "bacterial SSU rRNA". It matches the Rfam family "Bacterial small subunit ribosomal RNA", at positions 28 to 340 of the family's 1533-position model. The record is from RNAcentral.
AGUGAACGCUGGCGGCAGGCCUAACACAUGCAAGUCGAGCGGCAGCGGGUUCCCGCGAGGGGAUGCCGGCGAGCGGCGGACGGGUGAGGAACACAUCGGAAUCUGCCUGGUUGUGGGGAUAACGUAGGGAACUUACGCUAAUACCGCAUGAGACCCUGAGUCGACGGACGUGGGGUGAAAGUGAGGGACCUUCGGCCGUCACGCGACCAGAUGAGCCGAUGUCGGAUUAGCUAGUUGGCGGGGUAACGGCCCGCCAAGGCGACGAUCCGUAGCUGGUCUGAGAGGAUGAUCAGCCACACUGGGACUGAGACACGGCCCCGACUCCU